RNAcentral lists this ribosomal RNA (244 nucleotides) under uncultured Actinomycetales bacterium. Its description in RNAcentral is "partial 16S ribosomal RNA". It matches the Rfam family "Bacterial small subunit ribosomal RNA", at positions 88 to 334 of the family's 1533-position model. The record is from RNAcentral. Lineage: Bacteria; Bacillati; Actinomycetota; Actinomycetes; Actinomycetales.
UGCUCGAGUGGCGAACGGGUGAGUAACACGUGAGUAACCUGCCCUUGACUCUGGGAUAACUUCAGGAAACUGGGGCUAAUACCGGAUAGGAGCUCCUGCUGCAUGGUGGGGGUUGGGAAGUUUCGGCGGUUGGGGAUGGACUCGCGGCUUAUCAGCUUGUUGGUGGGGUAGUGGCUUACCAAGCUUUGACGGGUAGCCGGCCUGAGAGGGUGACCGGCCACAUUGGGACUGAGAUACGGCCCAG